RNAcentral lists this ribosomal RNA (414 nucleotides) under uncultured microorganism. RNAcentral describes it as "bacterial SSU rRNA". It matches the Rfam family "Archaeal small subunit ribosomal RNA", at positions 459 to 872 of the family's 1478-position model. The record is from RNAcentral.
CAGCAGCCGCGGUAAUACCGGCGGCCCGAGUGGCGGCCACUCUUAUUGGGCUUAAAGCGUCCGUAGCCGGGUUGGUUAGUCUCCCGGGAAAUCUGGCCGCUUAACGGUCAGAAUUCCGGGAGAUACUGCCAGCCUAGGGACCGGGAGAGGCCGAGGGUAUUCCCGGAGUAGGGGUGAAAUCCCAUAAUCCCGGGAGGACCACCUGUGGCGAAGGCGCUCGGCUGGAACGGGUCCGACGGUGAGGGACGAAGGCCAGGGGAGCAAACCGGAUUAGAUACCCGGGUAGUCCUGGCUGUAAACGAUGCGGACUUUGUGUCGGACAAGCUAUGAGCUUGUCCGGUGCCGGAGGGAAACCGUUAAGUCCGCCGCCUGGGGAGUACGGCCGCAAGGCUGAAACUUAAAGGAAUUGGCGGG